CCUACGGGUGGCAGCAGUGAGGAAUAUUGGUCAAUGGGCGCGAGCCUGAACCAGCCAAGUCGCGUGAGGGAAGACGGUCCUAUGGAUUGUAAACCUCUUUUGUCGGGGAGCAAAAGACGCCACGUGUGGCGUUCCGAGAGUACCCGAAGAAAAAGCAUCGGCUAACUCCGUGCCAGCAGCCGCGGUAAUACGGAGGAUGCGAGCGUUAUCCGGAUUUAUUGGGUUUAAAGGGUGCGCAGGCGGAAGAUUAAGUCAGCGGUAAAAUUGGGGGGCUCAACCUCUUCGGGCCGUUGAAACUGGGUUUCUUGGGUGGGCGAGAAGUAUGCGGAAGGGGGGGUGUGGCGGUGAAAUGCAUAGAUAUCACGCAGAACUCCGAUUGCGAAGGCAGCAUACCGGCGCUCAACUGACGCUCAUGCACGAAAGUGUGGGUAUCGAACAGGAUUAGAUACCCGGUAGUC
RNAcentral lists this ribosomal RNA (458 nucleotides) under uncultured bacterium. Its description in RNAcentral is "partial 16S ribosomal RNA". It matches the Rfam family "Bacterial small subunit ribosomal RNA", at positions 338 to 795 of the family's 1533-position model. The record is from RNAcentral.